AUUGAACGCUGGCGGCAGGCCUAACACAUGCAAGUCGAGCGGAUGAAGGGAGCUUGCUCCUGGAUUCAGCGGCGGACGGGUGAGUAAUGCCUAGGAAUCUGCCUGGUAGUGGGGGAUAACGUCCGGAAACGGGCGCUAAUACCGCAUACGUCCUGAGGGAGAAAGUGGGGGAUCUUCGGACCUCACGCUAUCAGAUGAGCCUAGGUCGGAUUAGCUAGUUGGUGGGGUAAAGGCCUACCAAGGCGACGAUCCGUAACUGGUCUGAGAGGAUGAUCAGUCACACUGGAACUGAGACACGGUCCAGACUCCUACGGGAGGCAGCAGUGGGGAAUAUUGGACAAUGGGCGAAAGCCUGAUCCAGCCAUGCCGCGUGUGUGAAGAAGGUCUUCGGAUUGUAAAGCACUUUAAGUUGGGAGGAAGGGCAGUAAGUUAAUACCCUGCUGUUUUGACGGUACCAACAGAAUAAGCACCGGCUAACUUCGUG
This 484-nucleotide ribosomal RNA is filed under the name uncultured bacterium. Its description in RNAcentral is "partial 16S ribosomal RNA". It matches the Rfam family "Bacterial small subunit ribosomal RNA", at positions 30 to 507 of the family's 1533-position model. The record is from RNAcentral.